This 107-nucleotide small nuclear RNA is filed under the name Catagonus wagneri (Chacoan peccary). Lineage: Eukaryota; Metazoa; Chordata; Mammalia; Artiodactyla; Tayassuidae. The record is from RNAcentral.
GUGCUCGCUUCAGCAGCACAUGGACUAAAACUGGAACGAUAUGGGGAGGAUUAGCAUGGCCCCUGCGCAGGGAUGACACACAAAUUUGUGAAGUGUUCUAUAUUUUU